This 486-nucleotide ribosomal RNA is filed under the name uncultured bacterium. RNAcentral's name for it is "bacterial SSU rRNA". It matches the Rfam family "Bacterial small subunit ribosomal RNA", at positions 28 to 524 of the family's 1533-position model. The record is from RNAcentral.
GAUGAACGCUAGCGGCAGGCUUAAUACAUGCAAGUCAAGGGGGUAGCAAUACAACCGGCGCACGGGUGAGUAACGCGUACACAACAUACCAUAUACUGGAGUAUAGCUUUGGGAAACUGAAGGUAAUCCUCCAUAACAUUGCGAGAGGGCAUCUGAUUGCAAUUAAAGUUUCGGCGGUAUAUGAUUGGUGUGCGUUUGAUUAGCUAGUUGGUAGGGUAACGGCCUACCAAGGCGACGAUCAAUAGCUGGCGUGAGAGCGCGACCAGCCACACUGGAACUGAGACACGGUCCAGACUCCUACGGGAGGCAGCAGUAGGGAAUAUUGGACAAUGGAGGAAACUCUGAUCCAGCCAUGCCGCGUGAUAGAUGAAGGCCCUCUGGGUUGUAAAUAUCUUUUAUCUGGGAGAAACAACUCCUAUUCUUAGGAACUUGACGGUACCAGAGGAAUAAGCACCGGCUAAACUCCGUGCCAGCAGCCGCGGUAAU